CCUACGGGAGGCAGCAGUGAGGAAUAUUGGACAAUGGGCGCAAGCCUGAUCCAGCCAUGCCGCGUGCAGGAAGAAGCAUCUAUGGUGUGUAAACUGCUUUUGUACAGGAAGAAACACUCCCUCGUGAGGGAGCUUGACGGUACUGUAAGAAUAAGGACCGGCUAACUCCGUGCCAGCAGCCGCGGUAAUACGGAGGGUCCGAGCGUUAUCCGGAAUCAUUGGGUUUAAAGGGUCCGUAGGCGGUUUAAUAAGUCAGUGGUGAAAUCUGGUCGCUCAACGAUCAAACGGCCAUUGAUACUGUUAGACUUGAAUUAUAAGGAAGUAACUAGAAUAUGUAGUGUAGCGGUGAAAUGCUUAGAUAUUACAUGGAAUACCAAUUGCGAAGGCAGGUUACUACUUAUGGAUUGACGCUGAUGGACGAAAGCGUGGGGAGCGAACAGGAUUAGAUACCCUGGUAGUCCACGCCGUAAACGAUGGAUACUAGCUGUUCGGAGCAAUCUGNGUGNGUAGAGAAGUAGAGUAAGUAAGUACCACCGUCGGGAGGUAACGGUUCGUCGAAGAAAGUAGUUAAACGUUAACGUAAAGUUAAGAGUUAGUACGGCGUUGAGAGNGCCGACGGACGACGACGAGGGAGGAGG
Molecule: ribosomal RNA, 638 nt
Filed under: uncultured bacterium
Lineage: Bacteria
Description: partial 16S ribosomal RNA
Rfam family: Bacterial small subunit ribosomal RNA (bases 1-535)
Source: RNAcentral